UACGUAGGUGGCAAGCGUUAUCCGGAAUUAUUGGGCGUAAAGCGCGCGUAGGCGGUUUCUUAAGUCUGAUGUGAAAGCCCACGGCUCAACCGUGGAGGGUCAUUGGAAACUGGGAGACUUGAGUGCAGAAGAGGAAAGUGGAAUUCCAUGUGUAGCGGUGAAAUGCGUAGAGAUAUGGAGGAACACCAGUGGCGAAGGCGACUUUCUGGGCUGUAACUGACACUGAGGCGCGAAAGCGUGGGGAGCAAACAGG
Molecule: ribosomal RNA, 253 nt
Filed under: uncultured bacterium
Lineage: Bacteria
Description: partial 16S ribosomal RNA
Rfam family: Bacterial small subunit ribosomal RNA
Source: RNAcentral